GGAGUCUGGACCGUGUCUCAGUUCCAGUGUGGGGGACCUUCCUCUCAGAACCCCUAUCCAUCGUAGCCUUGGUGGGCCGUUACCCCGCCAACUAGCUAAUGGAACGCAUCCCCAUCCCUUACCGAACAAAUCUUUGGUCAAGUGAAAAGGCUAUCGCUUGACAACAUCGGGGAUUAAUCCUACUUUCGCAGGGCUAUACCCGAGUAAGGGCCAGGUUGGAUACGCGUUACGCACCCGUGCGCCGGUCGCCAUCUAUCAAAGCAAGCUUCGAUAAUGAUGCCCCUCGACUUGCAUGUGUUAAGCCUGUAGCUAGCGUUCAUC
RNAcentral lists this ribosomal RNA (321 nucleotides) under uncultured Bacteroides sp. RNAcentral describes it as "partial 16S ribosomal RNA". Lineage: Bacteria; Pseudomonadati; Bacteroidota; Bacteroidia; Bacteroidales; Bacteroidaceae. The record is from RNAcentral.